This 428-nucleotide ribosomal RNA is filed under the name uncultured bacterium. Its description in RNAcentral is "bacterial SSU rRNA". It matches the Rfam family "Bacterial small subunit ribosomal RNA", at positions 355 to 775 of the family's 1533-position model. The record is from RNAcentral.
UGGGGAAUAUUGCGCAAUGGGCGAAAGCCUGACGCAGCGACGCCGCGUGAGGGAUGAAGGUUUUCGGAUCGCAAACCUCUGUCAGAAGGGAAGAAACUACAUUGUGCUAAUCAGCAGUGUACUGACGGUACCUUCAAAGGAAGCACCGGCUAACUCCGUGCCAGCAGCCGCGGUAAUACGGAGGGUGCAAGCGUUAAUCGGAAUUACUGGGCGUAAAGCGCACGUAGGCUGUAGUGUAAGUCAGGGGUGAAAUCCCACGGCUCAACCGUGGAACUGCCUUUGAUACUGCACAACUUGAAUCCGGGAGAGGGUGGCGGAAUUCCAGGUGUAGGAGUGAAAUCCGUAGAUAUCUGGAGGAACAUCAGUGGCGAAGGCGGCCACCUGGACCGGUAUUGACGCUGAGGUGCGAAAGCGUGGGGAGCAAACAG